UAGGGAAUCUUCCGCAAUGGGCGAAAGCCUGACGGAGCAACGCCGCGUGAGUGAUGAAGGUCUUCGGAUCGUAAAACUCUGUUAUUAGGGAAGAACAAAUGUGUAAGUAACUAUGCACAUCUUGACGGUACCUAAUCAGAAAGCCACGGCUAACUACGUGCCAGCAGCCGCGGUAAUACGUAGGUGGCAAGCGUUAUCCGGAAUUAUUGGGCGUAAAGCGCGCGUAGGCGGUCAAUUAAGUCUGAUGUGAAAGCCCCCGGCUCAACCGGGGAGGGUCAUUGGAAACUGGUUGACUUGAGUGCAGAAGAGGAGAGUGGAAUUCCAUGUGUAGCGGUGAAAUGCGUAGAUAUAUGGAGGAACACCAGUGGCGAAGGCGACUCUCUGGUCUGUAACUGACGCUGAGGUUCGAAAGCGUGGGUAGCAAACAGG
Molecule: ribosomal RNA, 429 nt
Filed under: Bacteroidota bacterium
Lineage: Bacteria; Pseudomonadati; Bacteroidota
Description: Bacteroidetes bacterium partial 16S ribosomal RNA
Rfam family: Bacterial small subunit ribosomal RNA
Source: RNAcentral